GAGACAAAAAUAAAUGACGUUGAUUGUUAGUAAGAGCUCUCGUGUAUACAACAUGUGUAUGCGAGGGCUUUCUUAAUUAUGGUAAUUAGUUCGUGUUUGAAUGUUUUUGAUAGUAAUAGUUA
RNAcentral lists this ribosomal RNA (122 nucleotides) under Staphylococcus aureus. Lineage: Bacteria; Bacillati; Bacillota; Bacilli; Caryophanales; Staphylococcaceae. The record is from RNAcentral.